Molecule: long non-coding RNA, 9019 nt
Organism: Pseudopodoces humilis (Tibetan ground-tit)
Lineage: Eukaryota; Metazoa; Chordata; Aves; Passeriformes; Paridae
Source: RefSeq, a predicted model, not a curated record
GACAGGCUAUCGCCCUUUGGUCAGAUUCUUGGCUCUUGUUUUGUUAAUUUUGUAGGUGGAAGGUGAUUUGAAUUUAUGAACUGAAAUCUGUUGGGUUCAAGCAUGUAAAUGUACCUGAAAAAUCUCAAUUAUUCUUGGAUUUGUUAGCUUAACCUACACAGUGUUAUAUAGUAUCUUCUUAUUUUGUUCUCCCGAAUCUCCCUGUGGAUCUUUAUAAAUAAUAUAAAAAAAGGUUUUUUUCUUGUUGAGAUUUAAGCCUGUUCUUCUUAUGCUGAAGAAAAUGUCAAAGAGACAGAAUCGAUGUUCCUGUUUACAAAGCUGGAAUUUUACUAGAAAGUACUAGAAGCACUUCUAGUUUUCUACUGCUGUGUCACAUUCCUCCUUGAUGCAAGAUGGAAAAUAUUAGACUGAAAUAUGACUAAAUAUUGUGACUAUACUGUACUUUCUAUAUUUACUGAGCUUUAUAUUCCCUGCUUUAAAGACUUUUAUUCUAUAGAGAAAACGAAAGCUGGGAUUCUGAGUGAAGAAUUGGAUUCCACAAGCUGAAAUUCCAGGAGAAACUUUUCUUCUUAGUACCAGCUCUACAAAUCUUCAAAAUUCUUUAAGAGAGUCACUCCUUUUGGCAUGUAUUUCUUGGUCUCUGCUCCCUGUGUUUACGAAAUGGAACUACCCUGCUUGCUUUCAUCACAUUAGAGGCAGUCAGACUCCUGGCAGGAUAAGGAAAGGUUCUUUCUAAUUAGUUUUUUUCACGCUAAUGCUGCUUUCAAAUCUUGCUAAUGAUCCAACAAUUAUUUCAAGCCAUCCUUAUAGUUUCCUGUGACCUUGUGUGCAUCCUUACUGUGUGUUGCAGUUAAUUUUUUGCAUUUGAAGAUACAGGCAAAACAAGAGACCGGAAUCCAUUGAUUUUGAGACUUGCAUAACUCUGGGAGCAAAGCUGAGCAGUUUCGUGACUGACAUUCACAGGUUGGACAAACAAGGCUUCACAGCAACUUUCUUGCAACUUUUAAUAACCAUGGAUGAAUGGAGCCGGUAUAAUCAAGUUCACGCGUAAUUUACCGCGAAGGAUCGUAUUUCAUUUUGCUGUCACACACCCUAUUUAUAAUCUUCUGCACUGCUCUGAGAAGGGACUCUGGAAGGACGAGCUGUCUUGGAUAUCACAGGACGUGCAGCUCCACACACAGCAAUGCCAGAGCUUGCUGAUCAUCCCCCAGCAUAAACAGGAGCAGCAAAGUGGCGCUCUGACAGGAUCAUGAGUCAUGAGGAGACCCAAAACAACAGAUGGCAGUAAAGCAUUAUUGGGUCUCCUAACCAAAAGGAAUGGAGGUGUGUGAUAUUACAAGCUUCCAGAUGGCAGACUGUAGAAAUGAGAAUUUCAUGAUCUGCUCUUGUGAAUCCUAACCACUGCACAUCACAGAAAGGCUGUAUCUGUGUGUCCCAGUAAUUCAGUGCACCAGCAGUGAAGCAAACAGUAGAUGAAAGAACCUGCUGAUGAGGCCUUUACAUCUUUACACUGAGCCCUGCCUGUCAGGUUUCUGUGGGACUGGGUUUAGCCUGGCCUUCUGAGCUGAGUGCUACCAUCAAACGGGCUGGGAAGCUGCUCAGAGGUUCAGUCAUUGACUGACUCUUCUGUGCCAUCAAAGCCUGGGUGUGCAGUCACUGAGUGCUCCUAGAGGUCACUGCCUUCAUGCCCUGCAGGUUAAAAUUACUUCUGAAUUCUGGCAAGAGAGCUUUUCCAUAUUCUUACAUGCUGUUCCCAAGCCACUUAUUAGUGGGCCAUUGAUUUAUAGCCAGAAGGUGGCCUCCUCCCAAGUGAAAACCGUGAGAUAUUUGUUUGAAAACAUCAUGCUAAUUUAGUUUUUAUAGCUGGUGAUUAUAAGGCUGAACUUUCAUGUUUAAGCAGUGCAGUUGACUUGGAGGGUAACUGCCAUCAGCUCACAGAAAUCUUUAAUUUUCUGCUGCUUUUGGGACCCAAGAGCUGGCUUGAAGAGUGCAGAUCCUCAUGAGAAGGUUUCCUUGCACAGCAAUAUUGCAGUGUGCUGUACCACCUAUAAGAGCAAGCCAUAGUUCAGCUGCUGGUCAUCCUGCUGGUGAUUCCAGGACUGGACACAUCAAUUCUUACAGCCAAUGUCUGCUGGAUCCUCCCCAGUAGCUUAAUUAAGGAGGCUAGUUCACCUUGGAUCCUUCUGACAACGUGCCAGAGAGAAAAAUGUCUCACCUCUCAGCAAAAGGAUGUGUGUGCUUUCGGGCAAUAAACCAACAGAAGGCAUAAAGACUGAGAACACCAUUUUUCCCAUCUCAGAAGAAACUCAUCAUGAUUUACAUUCUUGUAACUGAGAAAAAAAAAAUAAAAAAUGAGGCUCUGAAUAUCUUAGAAGACAUUAUCCAAUUGGAGAAAAGGUUAGGUUUGCACAUUACUGUCUAUAAGAGUAUUUCUCUUCCCCAGCUCCUGCUGGUCAGACGUGUGUGUGUGAAAUGCAAAUGCAGAUGUGGGAGAGUAAGAGAGAAUGUCAUAUCAUAGAACAAAUUUGAGCAGAAAUAGGAGUGAAUGUAUUCAGAGAAAACUUGUCCAUUUGUCACUCACCCUUACUGCUUUUUCAGCUGCCUUUCAUGUCUUCACUUCCAUCUCCUAAACGUAUUUUCUUUAUGAAUGUAAUUGUGAAAUGGCUAAACGUAGGCUGUCAGUAAUGCUGACAGAAGUACAUGUUCAGAAGUACAACACUUAAUUAGAAUUAAAGCAAUAAAUGUGUAUCUGUCUGAGAAAUGGACACAGCUAUGACUGUAAUGGUAAUUAAUACAUUGUUUUUAAGAGGUACUUAACAAAACUGUGGUGGUUUACCUUGUGAAGGCACAAGCUGCACACUUUUGCUCUCAAAAAUUACUCUUCAUGGUUUUCUAUAAAAAGGAUUUCUAUCUUCCUUUAGACCUUUCCAGUUCUAGCUCUUCCUGGGAAAUUAAAUUAAGAAACUGGGUGUACAGUCUUAGAUAAACCAAUUAAUCCUGUUUUUACAUUAAACAAUAUGUUUUAUGUUAGAACAACUGUAAUGGAUUUGUAAAGAACUUGAAUAUUUCAGUCAAAAGAGACUUGGAGUGCUAAUUUUAGUGUCAGUGUAAAUUCAGAGCUGUCACAAACACCUGGCAGAAAAGGUGCAAAGCUAUCAAUGUCUCCUCUACUUCUAUCUCUUCCCAAUUUCUUUCAUUGCAGCCAUAUGAUGGAAAGAACUCCCUUCCUGCCACAGGCCCCCACCUCUCUGUAUUACCCUGAUCAUCCCAACACUUGGUAAGAUAAACCUUACAUGUAUGGGAGUGUCUAAUCUGAACAGAAAAAAAGCCUUGCACAUAAUUAGAAAUAGCUAUGUGCAAGUCUAAAGAGAGAAUUUUUAGUUAAACUCAUGAAUGACUUUUGCUGAAAAGUAACUUGUCUUUUGGGUAUUGAUGGAGAUAUGUGUGUGACACAAUAACACCAGGUGGACUCUCCUUUCUGGGCAGUUUCAGUUAUGGUCCAUUAAAGAACCUUCUUGCUUUAUUAUUUAAAAUCUCAGGUCAGUGAGAUGUGGCACUAAAUGAAUUACUCUGCUGAACUCACCCUGGGUGUGUGCUGCUCAGUGCAAUGCUGUGUUUCCUUAGAAAUCCCCUUGGCCUAACUUCUGUCUGGGUAUAUUUGCAUGGCAGUAGUGACAUCUCAAAUACACAAAACAGUCUUCUACCUGCCAGCUGCACUGCCACAGCUCUACCAUUCCCUCAAGUCCUGUGGUUCCUCUCUAGUGUUGGUGAGGGCUGUUGAGAUGAGCUCUUAGCAUCUGGAGUCCUUCCCCCCAGGUUCCAUCCUUACCCUAAGUUAUACUUCUUACCCCAGGAAAUGCUUGGUUUCUUUUUUAUCUCUCUGCAACACUUUUUCUUCAGUGUUUUGCAGCCCUGUUUUACAUUCAAAUCUGAUUUAUGUGGCCAUCUUCCUUAUGCUGGGUAAUAUUUCUUUGUUAUUUAUAAGCAAAGAUUUUUCCAUGUUUGUUCUGUAUUUCUUUAACUGUUUAUAGCUGUGGAUUUCCUAGUGCCAAGCCUGUGCCCCAUCUUUCAUACUGUGCCUGGUUUUCCAGACUCCAUCCUGUAACUGAGCUUCCCCAGCCUGUGUCCUAUCAGGCUGUGUUUCUCUCUACCACAUUUUGUUAGUCGUGGAACCACAGUGGUGCCAUACAAAGAUACACAGAUGUAAAAUUAAUUAGCCAUAGACACCUAGUCAAUUAGGGGAAAAAAAAAUCUUGUUCCAGGGAACUAAAUUAAGCUAAAAUUAAAUUUCAAGCAGGUUAAGGUAGAUUCAGAUAGAGGAAGGCUGGUAAGUCUCAGUCCUACAAACCCAGUACAACAUUUGUGGGCUGUUACUAGCAGUGGUAGGAACAUAUCAGAGGGGGAGUUAGUUACUACAUUGUGAAGAUGUCCUGUGACAAUUGGCUAAAUUAAGACAAUUCUUCAAAAGCUAUGUUCAAUAACAAUUGUUCUUAAAAGUGACAACAGCUAUGGGAGGAUAACAUUUAGUAUUUCCACAGCGAUUCUAUAACUGAUUCGUUUUAAAUCCGUGAAACAUCAAUUUCCAUCAGUGUGGUGUCACUGCUGAUGAUUACUCAUCUGAUCCACAUGGGUUCCUUAAAAGGAUGUAUGCUCCUAUGAAAAAUAAUUCAUCAAAGAAUUUAAAAAAGUUUAUGUAACACACCUGACAAUUUCUUACCCAGUCUGCAGAGUCUGAGGAAUUGCAGGCAGCUAACAAUGGAAGGCAGCGUGUGUAGGUGCUGUGCCUCAGUCUGUGGUUUGGGAAUUCUGUGCUCUCAUAUCAUCUUUCAUUUGCUGCCAGGUUUCCCCUGAAAGGAUUCUUGAAGUGAAAAAUGGGAAACAAUAUUUUAGUUAUUCUCACCCCUGGUCCUCUGAAAUAAUGGAGAGCCAGGAGUGUUAAUUUAAAAGUGUAGUGCUGUGCAAACGUAGCAAAUAUUGCAAUCUCCUGUUAUGGAACCAGUGUUCAAAAUCUUAAACAGACAGGAGAAAAAAGGUAAAAAACCCCUUGGUGGAAUACUACUGUCAACCUUAAGAUAGGCUCCUUCCAGUUGUUUCUUCUGUCUCCCAUUGCUCUUGUGCUUUGUGUGUGAAACUGAAGAAAAUUUAUAAAGAAUUGUUUUCAGAAGCAGGCUAGAAAAGGUUCAGUUUUCUUUUGUCCAUAGCAGGUUGUGUUUUUUCCUAGGACUGCAACUCUUUCUGAUGUCUAACUCUGCACACUGUUGGAAAGAACACCCCAAAAGCAAGCUUUUGUCUAUAAAUGUCCAAAGUAAGGAUUUCAGCUGUUUUUAGGUGUCUCCUAACAGACAGUCUUGCUUUUAUCUACUCUUUUUGACCCUACUUAAGCCAUGUGAGAACAGUGCCUAAGAAGAUCCUUGAUGCCCAUGUAAUGUUAGCUGACUUGAUGAAAGAUGUGAAGAAUAGAGCUGACUUGGAUUUUGGGGCCUGAUAGAAGGAAAACUCUCUGAAGAAGUUGCUUUCUUGGUUUUGAGCUAGUUUUAAAUGAAUGCAUGUGACUAUAAAAUCUGCCUGUAUCCUGGUUACCUGUUCAUGCAGCACUACUGUAAGCGAGAACAGGCAUGUUGAAAUGCUCACUUCACUGACCUAAGAUUUGGAAAUGAACUUUUAGGACAUCCUGCCAAAGGAGAGGAGAUUCUUCAUCUCAUACACAUUCCAUUUGGAGCCUGGAAGGGCCACUCUGUGAUCACGGGAGAAGGUGGCAAAGACCUAAACCUGCUUUCUGCAGCCAGCUCUGCAGUGUCAGAAGGAAAAGUGAGGCUGCUGUUCUGCCUUCCUUCCACAACAAGCUAAACUUGUGAGAAUUCUCCCAAACAAUCCCAUGUGGCAAGGUCAAGCCUUUUCUUGGAGUGCUACGUAGGUCUUUACCUAUAUGUCUCUUGCUAUGGCUUCCAAAGCCAAUUUCAUGCCUGACAUAUGUUCCUUUGGCACUGAUUAGAACCUCAAAAUGGCACUUUGAUUUUUUCUCUUACAGGCAGGGGUGAUCAGGAGAACAACAAUGUCUGAAAUAUGGAUAUUUAGGAAGGUCUCUUAUUUUUAUUUUGGUUUACUGCAACCAAAGACUAAACUUAUGCAUUUAUUCUUCUUCUACUUAUUCCCCUCCUAUCCCAUAUAGGUAAAAACAUCCUGGUAUUAAUUCCCAUUAGGGAAAGGAACAGGUGAGUAUUUAAUACACUGGAAUAAAUAGUUUUGUGUAACUUUAUGCCAACUCAGUACACCCAGUGAACGAUAUUUCUGUUUAGAAAUAGAAAUGACUGGGACUCCAGCAUUUCAAAGUAUUUCACAGCACUUUUAGAAUAUUGUGAUGGGGGAAAAUGUUAGUAGCUGCCAUUUUAGUGUGAUGAAAUGUUGAGAAUUGAACUUCAAAGUUAUGCAAGUGCAUUGAAGGAAUGUUGUUCGUACCUACUGCCCUUAAGAGGGCGCUUAUUCACCAUUCACCAUUGCUUUUGUUUUUAACAUCAUCUGUUAUAAUAACGUGAUUUUAGAUUUCCACUGCACAAGGUUAACAUCUGACUGCAACCUGUUUGGGCUAGCUAUGGUUACUGACAUCAAUAGAUACAAGUGUACAGCCGUAUUGCAUUAUUUAGGCUUAGUUUAUAUAACAUUUGUGUCAGUCCACAAGAGUGCCACUUCCACCCAGAGCAGCAGGUGCAAAGCAGCUCCACACCUCUUAAAAGAAACAGCUUUUUUGUUACACAGGAGGAUUCUGUUUUGAUUUGAGGUUUUCUUUGGUUCUGCCUUUUCUGGGACAGCCAUCAGCUGUAAUAAACUUUGUUGCUUCAUCCUCUGAAGUUGUUCUUUGAGUAAAUUACUGCCUAAGUAGGGAUGCAGGAGAAGACUCUGAAGGAUAAAGAACAGCUCUGGUAACAAAAUUGGACUAUCAAGUGUCUGUUUUCUUUCUCAGGCAAGUACUGAGAAGUUCUGUUUUCUUGGAAAGGUUCUUCCCAGUUAGAAGUUCUGCUUGUAUGCAAUCAUUGUGGCAGCUGGAUGGAUGUGGCAGUCAAUGCUUUUUCUCAAAUAAAAUAGGAUUUGGCUAAAGAUCUCAAUUAGUCCAGAGCUAGAUCUUGGUAUCACAGUCUGCUCCUUUCCACACAGAACACUGGAGAAUGAAAGUGUUUGGUACAAGCUUGGCAUCUCCAUAAUUGGAUUAUGUCACAUGCCACUAGCAGCAACUUCCAUGUAAAUAUACAUGCAAAAUUUGUAACACAUGAAUUAUCACAAUAUUUACUUAUGCAUCAUCUGUUUGGAAAUAAAGGAGAGCUGACUUCCACUCCCCUUUGCCAAUCAUCCUUUUAGGUUUUACAAUUUUAUGUGGACUUGAAACAUUGCUUAAUUGUAGACAGCUAAACUGUGGAAUUUGUAUGGAGGAGCUCAACUCUGGUGACAGAGUUCUGCCUGAUUUUUAAAGCCUUCAUUUUCCAUAUGUGAUUGAUGUCUUUCAUGUGAGUCUGAAGGAGCAAAAACAUGUUUCAGUGGCUUGUACACGAGCAUGAAGACUGUGUACAGGCCACAGACAGAAAAACCACAUAAGCACUUCACAGGCUGUAUUCUGUAGCUCCAUGGGACCUUAUGGCUGUAGACAUCAAAGCUUCAUAUUGUGAACUUAUAAAGGCAUCACUUGUUUAUCAUUUCAAAAGAUGCUGAACAUGUGUAUUCUCAUAAAGCUUUGUGAUCAUACAUGCUGUAAAAAUAAAGGCAGUUACAUCAAGUUACUUCUAGGCAACAACAAAAGCUGAUCUUUCUUAUGCUCUUUUAUAAGUGAAAUUAUGUGUGUACAUUUGUUUCUCUCUCACACACACCAGUGGUGUAUAGGUGGGAUCUGGCUAUUAAACAGUUUUCUAUACCUUGUAAGCCUUUGUUUAACAUUUACCUACAUGAAGACCACUGAUAUUAAGUGCAUAUCUAUAGGACACAAUUUAAUUUUACAUGAAUAGACAGAGUAUAGCUUCUGAUAUUAAAAUAAUUAUAUAAUAUAUAAUAUAAUAUAAUGAUAAUUAUAUAUAGAUAUAUUUGAGAUUAUGAAACAUUGCUUUGUAUCUCUAUCACUACAUAAAACUGAAUCUUAUGAAAUACACAACUACCUGUUGUGUCUGAGGUUAAUGAGAAAAGACAUUUAAUUAGUUUGCCAUAAAUCUAGGGGACUGCUGUGACUUUUUUUUUGACCUGGACCAGGUUAUUGAAUAUUUUAGUAACAGAACUUAUGAAAGAAACUGUCUGGUUUGCCUUGCCUUGCCUUCCUUGCAUUGCCAUGCCUUGCUUUGUCUCCCUUCCUUCCUCCCUUCUCAUCCAUCUUAUGAUAUAAAACAAAUUAUUACUCCUACUCUGAAGUGGUAAAGGGAGACUUAAGGGUUUACAAGCUCUAGAAAAGUGGUUCUAGAGGCUUUGGACCAAGUCUUUGCAGGUGCCACUAGGUGAAACAAGUGUGACAGGUACUUGAUGAAUAGUAAGGACAGAACUGCUGCCUUCCAGUAGUAGGAAGAAAAGGGUUACGAGUUUUCUUAGUGCACUGAGACAUCACAUAUUAUUUAAUAUCUGAGGAGUUCCUCCAGUGGCUAAGUGACUUGAAGUUAUUGCUGAUGUGUCAUAGGAGCCACGUGAAAAGAGCUGUUUCCAGAGGUGGCAGUGGAGACCUCUGUUUCAUGGUUUUAUUUUAUUAUUUGGCCAUGUUUUAACUGCUGUCAUUGAGAUUUCCUCUGUUGCUUCCAGUGGAGCUCACAAGUGGAAUAUUUUGUAAAAGGAUAGGCUGUAUCCUAUGGUCUCAUAAUCACUGUGGAAUGGUGCAGGCAGAAGUGCUCCUGAAGAAAGCUGCUGUAAUUUCCACUCUAACAACUGCUAAAACAUCCUCUAUCCAUUUUAGCUGCUCUUGUUGUUAAAAUGUGAAAAAUUAUUUAAACAGAAAUCUGGAAAACUCUGGAGUUAUAAAUCAGCAUAUGAAAAUUUUGCCAUUGAAGAUUGUUUUUGGUGA